Molecule: long non-coding RNA, 300 nt
Filed under: Hordeum vulgare
Lineage: Eukaryota; Viridiplantae; Streptophyta; Magnoliopsida; Poales; Poaceae
Description: long non-coding RNA (HVUL_LNC008442)
Source: RNAcentral
CGUGGUGCAUGUGGUUACCGUCCGUCUGCAGAUAAGGUACGGUCCAGUAAAGCAGACACGAGAAGCACGAGAUGGAUGACCAUCCCAAGGGAGCCUUCUUAAUUAAUCCCUGCCACCACAGUCCAAGCGUCAUGCAAUCCAAUGGAGAUCUGCUCUGAGCCUCUCCAUGACCAUCUGAAGGAAUCUUUGCUCAUUUGUAAUCUUUGCUCAUUUGUAAUGUUGGUAUGUGCCACGGAUUUUUAUAAAGACCUGUUUGGUCCUGCACAUAAGUUAUAGCUGCAAGAUUGAUGAGCAUAUGUG